This 556-nucleotide ribosomal RNA is filed under the name uncultured eukaryote. RNAcentral's name for it is "bacterial SSU rRNA". It matches the Rfam family "Eukaryotic small subunit ribosomal RNA", at positions 4 to 569 of the family's 1831-position model. The record is from RNAcentral.
CUGGUUGAUCCUGCCAGUAGUCAUAUGCUUGUCUCAAGGAUUAAGCCAUGCAUGUCUAAGCGUAAGUGUUUAACGGCGAAGCUGCGAACGGCUCAUUAAAUCAGUUAUAAUCUACCUGUCGGCGGCUUUUUUACAUGGAUAACUGUAGUAAUUCUAGAGCUAAUACAUGCAAGGCACCACGCAAGUGGUGGCAUUAUCAGGAUACACUCUGCACGCCAGUCUUACCAACUGGCUUUAGGCGAACCUAGAUAAUCUACGCGAUCGUGUUCCUUCGGGAGACGACACGACAGUCGAGUUUCUGACCUAUCAAGUUGAUGGUGACUUAUUGGCUCACCAUGCUCGUCACGGGUAACGGGGAAUUAGGGUUCGAUUCCGGAGAGGGAGCCUGAGAAAUGGCUACCACUUCCAAGGAAGGCAGCAGGCGCGCAAAUUACCCAAUGUUAAUACAACGAGGUAGCGACGAGAAAUAACGAUGCCGAUCCUUCGGGGUUGGUAAUCGUCAUGAGCACAAAGUAAACAUCUUAACGAGGAACAAUUGAGGAAAAGUCUGGUGCCA